Non-coding RNA from Trichobilharzia regenti, 46 nucleotides. The record is from Rfam. Lineage: Eukaryota; Metazoa; Platyhelminthes; Trematoda; Strigeidida; Schistosomatidae.
AUAUUGCUGAAGAGCCUCAAACUAGGACGGAACAGCUGUCCAAUAU